This 438-nucleotide unclassified non-coding RNA is filed under the name Hevea brasiliensis (rubber tree). The record is from RNAcentral. Lineage: Eukaryota; Viridiplantae; Streptophyta; Magnoliopsida; Malpighiales; Euphorbiaceae.
UGCGGCUUGCUUGAGCAACAAGUCCUAAAUCUCCCGUUCCCUCUAAUUGCUUCUUGACUUGCUUCUCAGUCCUCCCAAACGCCUCAGCAAGUGCUUUGAUAAUGAUUGAUUCUCCAAUUCCCAGCUCCACUCCCUCAUGCGCAGGCGCAACCUUGUUAGCCAAAAGAUAUACCAAUGCUAGCAAAUCGUCAGGCGUCGUAUCCAUUACAGUUCUCAACAUAUUGCACACCAUAUUAGUGAUCAAAAUCCUCCCGCUCUCUUUUUCAAUCAACUCAAAACCCAAACAGACAAAUAUAAAAGGAACCCUCUCGCCCUUCUCCCAAGACAACACUUUUUUUGUUUGGGGUCAAAAUCCCCGGGACUCUUCUUCAAUGACUCAAUCUUACUCUUCAAGUCCGCAAUUUCCACACGUUGUUUCUUGCUAUUAAUAACUCUUUC